This 221-nucleotide unclassified non-coding RNA is filed under the name Hevea brasiliensis (rubber tree). Lineage: Eukaryota; Viridiplantae; Streptophyta; Magnoliopsida; Malpighiales; Euphorbiaceae. The record is from RNAcentral.
GUGCAAUAUUUUGUAUAGUUGUAGACAUGAUCAUCAAUUUGAGACUUGUUUGGGUUAGGGGUUUUGGUUCUUGAAGAGUGUAAACAAGCUUUAAUGGUGAAAAUGGAUAGUUUAUUGUUGUUAUAAGGAGAAAUUGUUAGUACAUUUUUGAGAAGAAAUGGUGAUCCAAGUAAAUUAGUGGACAUGGAAGCAAAUUGUAUGGAGGGAGGAGAAUAUGUGGC